CGCGACCCCAGGUCAGGYGGGAUUA
RNAcentral lists this ribosomal RNA (25 nucleotides) under Quercus sinuata. RNAcentral's name for it is "partial 26S ribosomal RNA". Lineage: Eukaryota; Viridiplantae; Streptophyta; Magnoliopsida; Fagales; Fagaceae. The record is from RNAcentral.